AAACUGAAGAGUUUGAUCAUGGCUCAGAUUGAACGCUGGCGGCAGGCUUAACACAUGCAAGUCGAGCGGUUUAAAGUACUUGUACUUUAGAUAGCGGCGAACGGGUGAGUAAUGCCUAGGAAUCUGCCUGAUAGUG
This 136-nucleotide ribosomal RNA is filed under the name Gammaproteobacteria bacterium. RNAcentral's name for it is "partial 16S ribosomal RNA". It matches the Rfam family "Bacterial small subunit ribosomal RNA", at positions 1 to 138 of the family's 1533-position model. Lineage: Bacteria; Pseudomonadati; Pseudomonadota; Gammaproteobacteria. The record is from RNAcentral.